AUACGUAGGGGGCAAGCGUUAUCCGGAUUUACUGGGUGUAAAGGGAGCGUAGACGGUUUGGCAAGUCUGAUGUGAAAGCCCGGGGCUCAACCGCGGGACUGCAUUGGAAACUGUCAGACUUGAGUGCAGGAGAGGUAAGUGGAAUUCCUAGUGUAGCGGUGAAAUGGGUAGAGAUUAGGAGGAACACCGGCGGCGAAGGCGGCUUACUGGACUGUAACUGACGUUGAGGCUCGAAAGCGUGGGGAGCAAACAGGAUUAGAUACCCUGGUAGUCCACGCGGUAAACGAUGAAUACUAGGUGUUGGGGGUCUAUAGACCCUCGGUGCCGCAGCAAACGCAAUAAGUAUUCCCCCUGGGGAGUACGUUCGCAAGAAUGAAACUCAAAUGAAUUGGCGGGG
This 397-nucleotide ribosomal RNA is filed under the name uncultured bacterium. Its description in RNAcentral is "partial 16S ribosomal RNA". It matches the Rfam family "Bacterial small subunit ribosomal RNA", at positions 523 to 918 of the family's 1533-position model. The record is from RNAcentral.